RNAcentral lists this microRNA precursor (78 nucleotides) under Procavia capensis (Cape rock hyrax). Its description in RNAcentral is "miRNA (ENSPCAG00000019070.1)". The record is from RNAcentral. Lineage: Eukaryota; Metazoa; Chordata; Mammalia; Hyracoidea; Procaviidae.
CGUGCUGCGGAACCAUGCGGUGGGGCCUUCCACCAGCGUGUCCGCUGCGCACGGCGACAUCCACGGCCUAUUGGGACC